Ctenopharyngodon idella (grass carp) is the source of this 1390-nucleotide non-coding RNA. The record is from the annotation of a RefSeq genome assembly. NCBI's taxonomy places the organism in Eukaryota, Metazoa, Chordata, Actinopteri, Cypriniformes, Xenocyprididae.
UUGAGGUUUUAUGUACGGUGAAAAAUCACACGGAUACUUAAGAUAGUCUAUUCUUAUGAAGUUCUUACAUUAGUAGAUCUUGUCAUAUACAGCAUAGUUAAAAUAUUCUGUGGCUGAAAGAGGAAGAAAGAUCAUACAGAUCAGUUUCAUGAGGACAUAAAUGUGCAUAUGUGUGAACACAACACUAAAAUGUUGGUAUAUAAAAACAAAUGUCAACAGUAACUCAAACACAGACAGCACAUUUUAAAGCACACUUUAAAGGAUUAGUUCACAUCAGAAUUCAAAUUUAAAUUAAAAAAGAAGUCCACUAUAUGGAGAAAAAUCCUGGAAUAUUUUCCUCAAAAAACUUAAUUUCUUUUUGACUGAAGAAAGAAAGACAUAAACAUCUUGGAUGACAUGGGGGUGAGUAAACUAUCAGGAAAUUUUAAUUCUUAAGUGAACUAAUCCUUUAAAGCAAAUGGACAAAACAUGCUGUUCUGAGCUCCAACAUUAGGGGGCAACAUAACCUCACAAGCUAUGCUUUAUUCACAUUAGACAACCACCUGAUGUCUAAAUAAAACACUGCUCACCAUUUGAUUUAAAGCACAGAGCAUGUCCAUGUUUCACUAACCACACCCACAUUAUUAAUACACAACAGAACUUCACUCUUCGCAUUCAUUCAUGCAUCAGCAACACUUCAUUUCACACUUUCAACACAUUCAUUUUAUAAAACCACAUUGAGCAUAACUUAUAAAUCAACAAUCAAUAAAACAACAAGGAAAAUCUAACAAAUCAAUUUAAUAGCAAACAAACACUCUGAUCUUUAAAGUGGACUUCAGUUAAGAUGGAGGAGAAGCAAAUGCUGCUCAUGAUGCUCAUCACAGUUUCAGGUGGAUUUGCAGAUAAAAUUGGACCAAAAGAUGGAAAUACUAAUGUAAUCAAAGAAGAAGGAGAGUCUGUGACACUGAGCUGCACAUAUGAAACUAACAGCAAUGAUAUUUGGCUUUACUGGUACAGACAGUAUCCAAACAGAGAACCAGAAUAUUUACUGUAUAAAGGUGCUCGAUCACGGAGCAGUCAGGAAAAUAUACCAGACGGUUUUCAGUCGACUACAUCCCAAUCAUCCACUGAACUCAUUAUUAACAGUGUGACUCUGUCAGAUUCAGCUCUCUAUUAUUGUGCUCUAAGAGUAGCAGCCCAGUGAUACAAAGUGCCUGAGAAGCUUUACAAAAACUCAUACAAAAUUAAUGCUUUGAAGUGUCUUUAAUCAAUCUGUAUCAUGUUACUGUAAACCACAAACAGUGAAUGUGGUAACAGCUGUGAAUUUGGGAGGUUACAUAAGGGCAUGUGAAUAAAAUUCAGCAUGUGUCUCUACAUGGUUCUCAUAUAACUGCUUUUAUGUUUUCUCUUU